AAAAAAAAAAAAAAAAAAAAAAGUCCGAGCAAAGGGGGAGCGUACGCCCUCUACGCCCACCUCUGAAUCCGCCACUGUAUCAGGUGUUUUGUUCGGUAGAUCUCAAUUGGGAAAAAGAGAACGGGAUUGUGUUUAUGAUAAUUGGAACAUAUCCGUCGUAAUCUGUGUAAGUGAUAUAUUAUAACUUUAAACCAACUCGUGAUUGCACCCGUAAUGUUUAUUUUGAAGGAACGACUACAACUUUACUUCUUUGAUCCUAAAUUUUUCUUCUCUACAAAUUUAAUUGCCGA
Molecule: long non-coding RNA, 290 nt
Filed under: Mytilus galloprovincialis (Mediterranean mussel)
Lineage: Eukaryota; Metazoa; Mollusca; Bivalvia; Mytilida; Mytilidae
Source: RNAcentral